UGAAGGUUUUAGUUAGGAACUGGUGGUU
Molecule: non-coding RNA, 28 nt
Filed under: Homo sapiens (human)
Lineage: Eukaryota; Metazoa; Chordata; Mammalia; Primates; Hominidae
Source: RNAcentral